CCUACGGGAGGCAGCAGUAGGGAAUCUUUCACAAUGGGCGAAAGCCUGAUGGAGCAACGCCGCGUGCAGGAUGAAGGCCUUCGGGUUGUAAACUGCUUUUAUAAGCGAGAAAUAUGAUGGUAACUUAUGAAUAAGGAUCGGCUAACUACGUGCCAGCAGCCGCGGUCAUACGUAGGAUCCGAGCAUUAUCCGGAGUGACUGGGUGUAAAGAGUUGCGUAGGUGGCAUAAUAAGUAGCUAGUGAAAUCUGGUGGCUCAACCAUUCAGACUAUUAGCUAAACUGUUCAGCUCGAGACCGUUAGGGGUAAGUGGAAUUUGUAGUGUAGGAGUGAAAUGCGUAGAUAUUAGAAGGAACACCGAUAGCGUAGGCAGGUUACUGGGACGGUUCUGACACUAAGGCACGAAAGCGUAGGGAGCAAACGGGAUUAGAUACCCCUGUAGUC
This 442-nucleotide ribosomal RNA is filed under the name uncultured bacterium. Its description in RNAcentral is "partial 16S ribosomal RNA". It matches the Rfam family "Bacterial small subunit ribosomal RNA", at positions 338 to 795 of the family's 1533-position model. The record is from RNAcentral.